Molecule: long non-coding RNA, 1279 nt
Organism: Diceros bicornis minor
Lineage: Eukaryota; Metazoa; Chordata; Mammalia; Perissodactyla; Rhinocerotidae
Exons: 5
Source: RefSeq, a predicted model, not a curated record
CUGUUGGAGAAGUGAGUGCUAAGUUAUCCAGCAGUACUGACUCUCAGAAGGGAGCAGCUGUUGCUGGGAGCAAGAGAACAUACAAAAUUGAUUAGAGUUCGGACUGUGAUGACAGCUGUGAAUGGCAGUCCUACUUCUGGAAGGGCACACUAGCUUUUAUGAGAUUGAAAUUUGAGUUGUCUACUAACAACAAAAAAUUUCUACUGUGCUGGGAGAAAAGUCAGUCAAAGAAAUGCUGAGUCAAUGGUCUCUGUCAGUCUUUCAACCAUGUUUGCUGCUGUUAAUAGAGGGAGCCAAGGCCAAUUAUCACCUGAAUGAAGGAAAUGUCAAUCUGUGAGCUACGGCAUGGUGCACUGAACAAGGCCAAAUCCAGAAAAAGCAAGAUCUUGGUAAAAUGCUGGGAUGAAUUUUAUUUCAGAAGAUCUGAACAGACUACUCCUUUCUUCCUCUCUUCCAUUUCAUCAGAGGAAGAGCACUUCAUAGCUUUACUCUGGCAAUGAACUUGUGGGCAGCACAAAGUAAGAUGAAUGACAGAGCUAUAGACUAUAGCUGAGGCAUGAGAGUAAUAUCAAGGCUUGGAGCCAUCACACCUGGGAUAACAUUCUGGCUGUCGCUUAUUAAAUACUGGGAAUAUUAAACUGGUUGCAACUUCCCUGAGCUUUUGACCACUUGCUGUAUUAUGGAAUGAUAGAAGUACAGGACAAAAGUCUGGAAUGGGGGUAAAACUUUGCUAAUUCAGUCCAAGCAAACUCCCGGAUAAACCACCAAUCAAAAAGAAACAGAUGCUGAGGCAUGAACUUCUCUUUCCACAGUUUGGAUCUAUAUAAUGUUCUCAAGGGUCAUUUUCUUUGAUUUAGUAAAUGUAGCCUAAUUGCAAAACUAAGCAUUUUCUCAUUCCCUUAGGAUUAGCUUCUUUACUAUAUUUCUUGAUGGGAAGUAUAUUUCUUAUAUUUCUGUGGGGUUUAGAUGUUUCCAAAGUUAACUUGCAUGUAACCCUUUAAGAAAAGCUGGGAAGUUAUUAUUUUCCCAUUUUAGAAACGAGGAACCUGAUGCUCAGAGAUGUUAAGUAGUUUGCCCAAUAAUUGACACCUAAUAAAUGACAAAGUCAUGUCUUCUAACACUUUCAUUUCACUCAUUUACUUAUCUAUUAAUUUAAUCAAUAAAUAUUUAUGUGACACAUUCUGUGUUCCAGGCUGUAUAUGAAACGUGUGUAUGACAAUGAACAAGGUGGGGAAUACAGACAAUAAAUCUAAUCAGACAAAUAAAUACAUAAUUAUAA